This 279-nucleotide ribosomal RNA is filed under the name uncultured bacterium. RNAcentral's name for it is "partial 16S ribosomal RNA". It matches the Rfam family "Bacterial small subunit ribosomal RNA", at positions 506 to 784 of the family's 1533-position model. The record is from RNAcentral.
UGCCAGCAGCCGCGGUAAUACGGAGGGGGUUAGCGUUGUUCGGAAUUACUGGGCGUAAAGCGCGCGUAGGCGGAUUAGUCAGUCAGAGGUGAAAUCCCAGGGCUCAACCCCGGAACUGCCUCUGAUACUGGUAGUCUUGAGUUCGAGAGAGGUGAGUGGAAUUCCCAGUGUAGAGGUGAAAUUCGUAGAUAUUGGGAAGAACACCAGUGGCGAAGGCGGCUAACUGGCUCGGUACUGACGCUGAGAUGCGAAAGCGUGGGGAGCAAACAGGAUUAGAUA